GACGAACGCUGGCGGCGUGCCUAAUACAUGCAAGUCGAACGCAUUUUCUUUCACCGUAGCUUGCUACACCGAAAGAAAAUGAGUGGCGAACGGGUGAGUAACACGUGGGUAACCUGCCCAUCAGCGGGGGAUAACACUUGGAAACAGGUGCUAAUACCGCAUAAUUCCAUUUACUGCAUGGUAGAUGGAUGAAAGGCGCUUUUGCGUCACUGAUGGAUGGACCCGCGGUGCAUUAGCUAGUUGGUGGGGUAACGGCCUACCAAGGCUGCGAUGCAUAGCCGACCUGAGAGGGUGAUCGGCCACACUGGGACUGAGACACGGCCCAGACUCCUACGGGAGGCAGCAGCAGGGAAUCUUCGGCAAUGGACGCAAGUCUGACCGAGCAACGCCGCGUGAGUGAAGAAGGUUUUCGGAUCGUAAAACUCUGUUGUUAGAAAAGAACAAGGAUGAGAGUGGAAAGUUCAUCCCUUGACGGUAUCUAACCAGAAAGCCACGGCUAACUACGUG
Molecule: ribosomal RNA, 507 nt
Filed under: uncultured bacterium
Lineage: Bacteria
Description: partial 16S ribosomal RNA
Rfam family: Bacterial small subunit ribosomal RNA
Source: RNAcentral